This 427-nucleotide ribosomal RNA is filed under the name uncultured bacterium. RNAcentral describes it as "partial 16S ribosomal RNA". It matches the Rfam family "Bacterial small subunit ribosomal RNA", at positions 355 to 774 of the family's 1533-position model. The record is from RNAcentral.
UGGGGAAUAUUGCACAAUGGGCGCAAGCCUGAUGCAGCCAUGCCGCGUGUAUGAAGAAGGCCUUCGGGUUGUAAAGUACUUUCAGCGAGGAGGAAGGCGGUAAGGUUAAUAACCUUAUCGAUUGACGUUACUCGCAGAAGAAGCACCGGCUAACUCCGUGCCAGCAGCCGCGGUAAUACGGGGGGUGCAAGCGUUAAUCGGAAUUACUGGGCGUAAAGCGCACGCAGGCGGUCUGUCAAGUCGGAUGUGAAAUCCCCGGGCUCAACCUGGGAACUGCAUUCGAAACUGGCAGGCUAGAGUCUUGUAGAGGGGGGUAGAAUUCCAGGUGUAGCGGUGAAAUGCGUAGAGAUCUGGAGGAAUACCGGUGGCGAAGGCGGCCCCCUGGACAAAGACUGACGCUCAGGUGCGAAAGCGUGGGGAGCAAACA